CCCUUAGAUGUUCUGGGCUGCACGCGCGCUACACUGAUGCAUGCAACGAGUUUUCGACCUUGCCUGAAAAGGUUGGGUAAUCUGUUUAACAUGUGUCGUGAUGGGGAUAGACCAUUGCAAUUAUUGAUCUUCAACGAGGAAUUCCUAGUAAGCGCGAGUCAUCAGCUCGUGCUGAUUAUGUCCCUGCCCUUUGUACACACCGCCCGUCGCUCCUACCGAUUGAGUGAUUCGGUGAAUGAUUCGGACCAGCGUGCUGCUCAGAUCCUGCGCAGUGUGCUGGGAAGUCUAGUGAACCUUAUCACUUAGAGGAAGGAGAAGUCGUAACA
This 326-nucleotide ribosomal RNA is filed under the name uncultured eukaryote. Its description in RNAcentral is "partial 18S ribosomal RNA". It matches the Rfam family "Eukaryotic small subunit ribosomal RNA", at positions 1470 to 1796 of the family's 1831-position model. The record is from RNAcentral.